Triticum urartu is the source of this 146-nucleotide non-coding RNA. Lineage: Eukaryota; Viridiplantae; Streptophyta; Magnoliopsida; Poales; Poaceae. The record is from Rfam.
UAAAUACUCCCUCCGUUCCUAAUUACUUGUCUUAGAUUUGUCUAGAUAGGGAGGUAUCUAGUUCUAGAGCGGCUCCUCGCCGGAGCGGCUCCUCGCCGUAUCUAGACAAAUCUAAGACAAGUAAUUCGGUACGGAGGGAGUACCAA